Mustela lutreola (European mink) is the source of this 2369-nucleotide long non-coding RNA. RefSeq lists it as uncharacterized. The transcript is spliced from 3 exons. NCBI's taxonomy places the organism in Eukaryota, Metazoa, Chordata, Mammalia, Carnivora, Mustelidae. The record is from RefSeq and is a predicted model, not a curated record.
GAAGAGAAAUACUGAAAACUUCUCUAAGCUUUCUUAGAUAGUAUGAAGUUCAUCUCCUUUUCUUUUAACCUUUCUAGAAGUUUCUGAUUCUGCAAACAAGAAGGAUACAGCUCCAAGAAACUUACCAAACAUUUAAAAACAAAGAGUCAGAGCCAUACAAUGGGGGAACUGAAUGAGAUGUUGGAGACCAUUCAGGUAUUUUUACUUUUCCAUUCACAGAUGGGGAAAUUUUGCCCCAAAUCACAUGACUGUUGAAUGCCUACACUGGAAGUAGAUCAAGGUCUUAGUAUUUUCUCUGAAUUUUCUACAUGGGAAGCUCAAAAAGAUGCCAUGCUACACUCUACAUUUUUUGGAAUAAAGCAGAGAAUGUGGGGAAGGAGGAGAGGGGGAAAGAAUCAAGGCAAGCCUGCUUAUUGUUGAAACUCUACCAAGUGCCCUCUUCUGGACCCCCCACUGGGAGAGGCUGUCUCAACAGGCCGGGGCGCUGCCGGACCACAGAAUCUUCCUUCUCAUACUGGAGAACUGGGCAUAGGACCCAGCAGCAAAAUGGACCCAAGAACCUUGCCCAUCCAGCAGCUAUGCCAGAAGCACCAGCUCAAUCUAAAAACCACAGAUUCAAUUAACUAAUCCCUCUCCUCGGAGUGCCAAGAAGAAAUAAUCUUGUCAACCACCCCCUUUGCCCUGAGCCCUGAUCCAAAGCUCAAUAUGCUUUUGAUUUUCCUAGAGUCUUCAAAAAAAAGAAAUGUUAUUUCAAGGCCACUCCCUGUUUUCCACAUUCUUGACAGAGUCACCCGAGAACCACAGCAGCGGCAAACAUAUUAAAUUCCAUCUUGUGAAAUAACACGAAAAAGUAUUUAGCAACAUUCCCCUCUCAACAGUGCUAAACAAGACUUGUGCUUUGUCACAGACUUUAUUCCCCAAUAUACGAGCAGGAUCGCAGCUCAGACAACACGUUCUCAAGCAGAUGGGCUCGACUGAGUGUUUUCCUGCCUUAUCAUUUUCACUUCCUCUGUUUUCUUUUCACUCUCCUGGCACAUAAAAAUUGGAUGGUCGGCUGAUUUAUCCCCGGGGCACACACCUUGUGUCUUCUCUAGGAUGGUUUAAUUUGAUUUUUCUCAACAACAGCCAAGGACAGAAGAAAGUUUCUCAUUAGGAAAUUGCCUUGGGAGUGAUACAGAGCUUUGUUGGUUAAAGAAAAUGUUAAGUGUGAAAACUACAGCCCAGGUUACCUCACGCGCGUAUUCUCUUCAGACAGUUUCUGAGUGUUAGUGAUGUUGCGCCAACAAAACAAAAUUGAGGAUUUAAUUCAGGGCUCUCUCUUCUUAGUGAAAAGGCUACUUAUUGGGAGAGUGGUUCUGACUGACUUUGAGGUUUAAUGUGAAGAGAAAGCCUGCAGGGACUGGGCGAAGCUGGCCCUGUGCCAUUCAGCUCAAGUGGGGAGCUGACCCACCGGCUUAUUGACCCCUGACCUCUGGACCGAGACUUCCAGAACGUCCUUCAAUGUGGCGGUCAUGGUGGCAGCUUUUGUUUACCUUCAAGGAGGAUGUUUUGAGACCCUAUUGAUAAGUAAUGCUGAUUUGUAUGGAAACUUUUCAAGUUGAAAUUCUCGGUGGGUUUUUGGCUGCUUCUGGAAAUCUGAGCUAAAAGCAAGGCCUCUGCCCCCUGCCGCUUGGGUUUAAUAACAAAACACAAAGCAACCAUAUAAACAGACCCUUUUAAUUGACUAUAGGCCCCAACUUCUCCCUUCUGGAAACAUGAGAACCGGGGCCUAGAACUUAUACCAUACGCAGAAACCAGAUACCCUUAGAAUCAGAAGUAUCUCCAACACUAAUUGGAUUAAAAAUCAUGAAGCGUACUCUCAGACUGGAGCAUUCAAAUCAAAUUAGACACCAUCUUAUUUUUUAAAAAUAAAGAAUUAGUGCCUUGUGUGUACAUUAUCAUCACAAGUUAAUGAGGGAGGGAGCAUGACUAGAGCCUCUCACGUUACCAGAACGGAACUCGGAUACCACAAAAUGCUCCCUUCAUUUUUUUUUUUUUUUUUUUUUCAGGCAAAACAGAGCUAGAAUCUUAAAGUGCUACCACUUAAUUCCCCACUGAGGUAGAAUGAUGGAAUUCUUCACUUUGCGAAUGAGAAAGGACCAAAGAGGCAAUGACAAGCCGGAGACCUGCCGGGGGUCUGGGAGCAGCACGUAUGGGUGUCCUCACUGCCCAGUGUUUCCUCUCAGCUGGGGGGACGUGUGUCGGUCACGCACUGGCCUGGCUCAACCAGAGCUCUGUGAUCACCCCGGUCUCGCCAGACCCUAUGUUCCUCCUUAGCGCCUCACAACCACCAGCUGAUAAAGGAGAAAAGAGAAGCGAAGCCACGAAGC